This 515-nucleotide long non-coding RNA is filed under the name Betta splendens (Siamese fighting fish). Its description in RNAcentral is "lncRNA (ENSBSLG00000014714.1)". The record is from RNAcentral. Lineage: Eukaryota; Metazoa; Chordata; Actinopteri; Anabantiformes; Osphronemidae.
AACAAAGUAAAUUGGUCAUGUGACCGACACGUGCCGUGAUUCAUUAUGUGCGCAUGUGCGACGUUUUAAAUUUCCGCGGAAAUCUCUAAAUAUUCAAGAAGUAAAUAAUCACGAGGGUGCGGUCAAGUAGAAAAACACCUGACGACAACAAAUAGCUGCAGCUGCGAUGGAGGCUUCCCAGCCAGUUCUCAGCCACAGGCUCCAGCUCAGGCCGACUGAGACGCGUCUACUCACCAGCAACAAUGAGCGACUGAGGCCAGAACAAGGAAACAAUGGAGAUGGUCAUUGCUGAGUUAAUUAUGUGCUUUAUCAACAAGCAGGUGUUUCUAAGCAAUAAUCCACUUCUCACCUGUAAGAAAUAAUUUUGUGCAGGAGUUUUACUAAUAUUAAAGAACAUGGCGGAAUCUCCAUCGCGUUCCUCAAUUGCGUAGAUCUGUUCAAACGGCGGAAUGGCUCGUUAGCCUCCACCGCUGCCGGAGGAUCCCAGAUUCCCUCGUUCAUCCCCGAACCCGCGC